AAACUCAUGUUGCUGCGUACUCUCUCCUCUCCCGUAAACACUCAAAUUCAAACUCGCUGCAGUGUGCUCUUUUUCUAGGGUUUCAAGCGCGGCAUCACCGCUGGAAAAUCAACUCUCCGAUUCAAUCUUUCUCUCUCGCCGAACUCCGAUUCAAUCUUUCUCUCUCUCCGGACCUGGUUUCAAGGCGCCGCUCCGAAAUCAAUCCUCCGAUUAAAUCUAUCAUUCUCGCCGAAGAUGGUUGUAGUAAUGGAGCCACAAUAAGUGAUAAGUGGAGGGAUUCAUCAAGACAUAUAAUUCAUGACAAUAUCUUUGUAUAUGGUGCUCUACGCCCUUUGGUUUCAAUAUCCAUUCUAAUUUGCAUGUGACAUGAUCGCCAUGUGAUCGCGUUCAAGGAAAAUUCAAGGUCUUUUGCAAAUUUGCACCUUUAAAUCAAGGUGGCCUAUUUAGAACGAAGCGCAGCCGCAGAUCUUCUCUCAGUCCUAUACAGCCCGAUGGAUGCUUCAUUGAACCGAAGCCUCUUUUCAAUAUCUCCCCCAAGUCUUAUGAUGGUUGAUUAGGUGAUACCGUGUUCCAAAGGAAUCACCAAUCUUUUCUCAGUCCUAGUCGUCCUCACACUGAUUCAUCAAAUAACAGUUAUGUGUUAUACAACUCUCCCCAGUUUACCUCCGCCGGAUCAAGUUGUUUGUCAAAUAUUUCAUCCGAAGGCACUUUAAUAAAGCAGUUUCAGGAUAGCAAUAUACACAAAAAUAUUUUUUCUACAAUUUCUUCAAAUAAUAUUAAAUUUAUAUAAACAUUUUUUAUUAGAAACAUUUUGCUUGCCCCGAAGCGGGCACACAUACUAGUUUAUAUGUAGAUGUAUACGUAUAGGUGUAUGUAUAGGUUCAUACAGUGACUUCUAGACAACCCAUGUCGAGAAAGUCAUUUGGUACACAUCCUCAUAUAUGUUGAAUGUCUAGGUUAGUUAAUAUAUCCUGUUUCUUAUGUUCGAUGAAAUGCCUGAAUGAAAUUUAGCAACAAAAAGAUUUAUCUGACUAAAACUGAGGAGUAUUAGUCAUCAAUGUGAAAUUUGUUAAAACCAACUCAGUUGGAUAUAUAUAAAAUUUUCGCAAAUUAACUAAUGAAUAGUUACUUGAUUUAGCUACUAUGGUUGGAGCAAAACUUUUUUUUGUCUAGGAAGGUUAGUGAUGCUAUCAUGAAUCGUUGUCACUGGUCUUCUCUCUAAUCUCCACUCUAAGCUGUAACCAGUUCCGUUAUCUACUAGAGUUCGGCAUGAAUUUCGAUUUUUUUUUAUAAGAAAUUGAGUCAUUGAUGAACACAUUAAAUAUUUGGCAUUUAAUAAUAAAUGUGUAUUGUUCGACUUAUAUUUGGUAAAAUUUAAAUACCAAUGAAAUUAACAUCGAGCUAGAACCCAAACUGGACCUGAAAGUUUGAACAUUUGGAGAGAUUCAAUAAUUUAUUAGAGGAUUUAAGGGGACUUUUCUUGACGUGAAACCUCUCAAUAUAACUGUAAUUGUAUUUCUCAUGAUCAUGUUUAAUCUUAAUAUUAAAAAAUCAUGUGUUCUAGAUGUUUAUAUCCAUGAAUUUCUUCUAUUAUUUAAAUGUUUUUUCCAUUUUCUCAACUUCAAGACUUCAUGAGAAAAUAAAUAAUUUUCUAAUGAUUAUUUAUUCCGACAUUAAAGGAGCUAUCUUUGAUGUAUGCUUAAGUCAGGAAGAAGAGACUGGCAUAGUUUGUAUCUACAUUUGAGAUCUAGAGCUAUUUUCUUGUAUGAAGCACAACUGGAGCAGUCAAGUGCUUCUCCAAACGCAAAAGCAGCCAUGCAGCACUGAAGUACAGAUCUCGUCACUGUUGAAAUUGACAUUAUUCCAUAUUUAUUCCCAAUACUGAGACUGUAAAAGUACUACCACAUCUGCAAAACCGAUUCCAUCAUAGAUUGGAAGCCCUUGAAAUCGAGAAAUGGGGACUAGAGGCGACGAGGGCGAAAGGUUGACGGAAGUUGACUUGUUAAUUGAGGUGCUUUCGAGGCUUCGUGUGAAGCCCUUGCUUCGUUGCAAAUCUGUGUCUAAAUGAUGGUACGCUCUCAUUUCAAGCCCUAAUUUUGUCAAAUCUCAUCUUUAACGUGCAAUCACAAGUUGUGUUGUAGAUGAUGAGGAUGAAAAUAAUCUCAUAGUCCAUUUCCAUAGACAGUGGAAUCGUCUUAAAUAUAAAGUAGCAGGCCGUUCAUUUUCACUCUGCAACCUCAGUUCUGGUCAUACUACGACAGAUCUUAAUUUUCCUUACCCUCAAGGAGAGUAUCCCAUUGAUCCUCCCUCUCUUCUCGUUGGUUUUGUUUGUGGAAUUGCUUGUAUUUGUGUUGAUGGCUCUGAUAGUUUCAGAAAUUUAUGCAUGCCUACUGCUCAUCUACCAAGUAAUAUAUACCUUUGGAAUCCUGCAAUUAAACAAUCUAAACUUAUUCCUCAGCAUACUAUACAUGAUAUUGAUAACACAGACGUCGCUUUAGGCUUUGGAUUUGAUCCCAUUGAUUUUGAUUUUAAGGUUGUUAGAGUUGUUAGAGCUAUUUUGAGUUCCAUUUCUCCCGAGGUCUAUUUUACAAACAGGGACGCUUGGCAAAAUAUUGACUCUAACUUGACCGAUGUACCCAACAGCAGAAGUUUCAAGGUAUGCCUCCAUGGAUUUUUGAUUACGACUGGAAAAACUGGUCUGAUUGCUUUUGAUCUAAACAAGGAGGUGUUUGUGUGUGAUAUUAAGCUUCCUGUCAACACUAGUGGCGCUCGUCCUCUUUACUCAUAUGAUGAUCAAGUCGUUGUCUUCAAGGAUUCUAUUGCUGUUAUUAACUCUUGGCAUGAUGGACCGGAUAGGAUCAAUUUGUGGACAUUAGAUGACGAGGCAUGCCUUCGUGAUGGUGGAGUCCAGACAUCAUGGACUUUAAAGCUUAAUAUUGGUCUUGAUGUCCCCUUUUACCAUGUCCAGAGCCUUUAUAACAGCGUUGACUUGUUACUAUUUCACGAGGGGCGGUGGUUCUUGUACAAUUUAGACACGAAUGUGUGCAGAUAUAUCUAUUCCAGAGAAUUUAUUUGUUUUGAAGAAGAUUUUUUCAAGUA
Daucus carota subsp. sativus is the source of this 3099-nucleotide long non-coding RNA. RefSeq lists it as uncharacterized. NCBI's taxonomy places the organism in Eukaryota, Viridiplantae, Streptophyta, Magnoliopsida, Apiales, Apiaceae. The record is from RefSeq and is a predicted model, not a curated record. The transcript is spliced from 10 exons.